This 9962-nucleotide long non-coding RNA is filed under the name Homo sapiens (human). RNAcentral's name for it is "HSALNT0401474". Lineage: Eukaryota; Metazoa; Chordata; Mammalia; Primates; Hominidae. The record is from RNAcentral.
ACACCCACCUCCCUGCUGUUCCUCACCCAGGAUCACCAAGGUCUCUCCUACCCCGGGGCCUGUGCACCUGCUGUGCCUCUGCUUGGGGUGCUCUUCCCAGGGCUUGCCCACCUCCUCAGAGAGGCCUCCUGACCCCUGACACGGCCUUGCCCUUCACCUCUAUCGUCCUUUAGAACAGCCCCCACCUCCCGCACAUCAUGCAGUUGCAGGUUCAAUGGCUACUGCUUGUCCUCCAGACUCGUGAGUAACUCGUGAGGUGGGGCGGGGCGGGGGCGGGGGCGGGGGCGGGAGGGGUGGGGGUGUUUUGUUCCCUGCUCUGUCCCGGCACUCAGAGCAGUGCCUGGCAGGGGUGGGUACUCAGUACACACCUGUUAGCAAGUGACUCCGAUGCAGGGACCGUUCUCUCUAAUCUCCAAGUCCACCUUUCUUAUACUAAGGAUUUUCAGUGUUUUUUCAUGCACCAUCCAAUCUUUUUUGACUCUUAGAUCAUAUGCCUCAGAGCCCAUCUGGGUACAAAAACACCCGUUUUCAAAAAAGGAACCAGAAAGUGGUUUCAUCUCGCUUUAGGAUGUGAAUGAAAGCCUCUCCUUCCGUCUCCCGAGAAGGGACUUUCAGAAGCUGCAGGUGCCCAGGUCCAGGCCCCACGCUGUGGCCCCGCAGGGACUGUACUCACUCUUUAUUUUUCUCUUUUCCAGCUCUCCACAAGCCAACAGCUCUCUCCUGGCUUUGAUUUUCAACCAUUUAAGUUGAAAAAAAUUCAAAACAAAUGAAAUGCACUUAAGAGAAAGCCUUGAGGAGUUCAGCAGGCCACCCAAAGUGAAGGGACUCCUUUGGGGGUCUUUGUUGUUAUCAAUUAUUUAUUGAGCCCUGAUGUGUUCCUGGCGCCACCAAGACCGAAAGGAGACAGGGUCCCUGCCCUGGGGCAUCCCAACAAAGAAGGGAGAGUUUGUGAAGCUUAAAAAUGUCCCAGAUGGUAAAACAGUUACACGUCAUACCUCAAGGCUGCUCUAUACUUUUAUUAUAGUUUUAUUCUUAAGGCUGUUUAUUUAUUUUCUGAUGUAAAAGUGACUCUGGUGGCCAGGUGCAGUGGCUAACACCUGUAAUCCCAGCACUUUGGGAGGCAAGCCGGGCAGAUCACGAGGUCAGGAGAUGGAGACCAUCCUGGCCAACAUGGUGAAAACCCAUCUCUACUAAAGAUACAAGUUAGCUGGGCGUGGUGGCACGUGCCUGUAAUCCCAGCUGCUCAGGAGGCUGAGGCAGGAGAAUCACUUGAACCCAGGAGGCAGAGGUUGCAGUGAGCCUAGAUUGCGCUGCUGCACUCCAGCCUGGUGACAGAGUGAGACUCUGUCUCAAAAAAAAAAAAAUGACUCUGGCUCUGGCUCUAUAUCUAAGGGGUCAACUGCACCAUUGUCACCACAAUGCCAUUUUCUGGAAGGAAAAGCUCUAUCUGACUUCACAGUCCUUAGGAGCCUUGUUAUGGAACCUGGUGGACAAACCAUUUUAACUGGACAUGAUGUUGCUUUUUAAUCAAUGACUCCUGAAAUUUUAGGUGAGUAUGAGUCUGGAGUUUUAGAUUACAAACAACAGGAAGCCAAUUCAACCCAGCUUUUUAAAAGAAGAUUUCUAAUUAAAUGUGUUGAUUCUGUUAGCAGAGAACUCUGGGGGCAGUGUGGGUUGCAGGCAUGGGUAGAUCCAGGUGUCAAAUGACAUUCUCAGGACCCAUGCUCUCUCCAUCAUUGGCUCUGAUUGCUCAGGUUUGGGCUCCAUUCUUGGGCCACUCUCUUGCUCUGCAGCAAGAUGGUCAAUGGCAGCUCUAGGCUCUCACCCUCAUCUUCACAUCUCUAAGUCCAGAACAAAGAGCUUUCCACACCUGCUACAGAUCUGGGAGAAGAUGAUCCUAUCUUUCUUGAACCUGAGGCUAGUCCUUACUCCUCCCUAAGUUCUAACAUAUUUACUUAAAACAAGGCACUAAUGAAAUGACUAUAUAAGUGCCCCACUGCCUCAGUAGGCAAAAAAUGUGUUUUUAUAUAUAGCUUAUUCUAACAGUAUUCAAACUGUGGCUUGAUCUUACUGAGCUCCAGUGGCCAUAGAGAAUAUGAUUCUUUCAGAUGUUUUCACAACAACUUUUACAGCAACUAUCUUUACACCUGCCUUCCCUUUCUCCUCAUCAGAUCAAUUAGUCUGGUUUCUUCUAUUUCCUGCUUACUUUCCGUUCCCCCAUUACUGAACUUCUGAUUGAAGAAAUAUACAGGACUGGGCACUGAGGCAUUGAGGAUGCUUUCAAGUUAGCAGUAAAGAAAUACCCACAGGGUCAUCCUGCCAUCCCAACAAUUGUCUUCUUUCUGCUAGGAUAGGCCUCAUCACUCCUCAGAUGAUUCUCGAAGGAUAACACACAGGCCAGUGGGCAGCCCUAGGCCAGGGGGAUUACCAAGACAUGAAGACUUUCUUUCUGUCUCAGCAACCUUCAUGCUUGGUCAAGCAAAGGUGUUGCUUAAGUCAAACCCAGGGCAGGGGAGAGCAGUUGAAGCAAAGUGAGUCUUUGGAGGCCCUGUGGUUGUGGGGUCUGGUGUGGAGACAGUGAGAACGGAAAAGGUGGGAGAGGAGCAGUCAACCCGUGAAUGGCCCCAUUCAGACGCCUUUACCUGGAAGACGUGGCAGGUGAGCAGCAAGUGAGCGGGAGAGUGGGAGAGAGAAUGAGGAAGUGAGGGAGAGAAUGGAUGAGUGAGCACCUGCUUGGAUGAGCCGACACCCACCAGGGAUCAUGAGAACACCGAACAGCUGAGGCACGGUGGCGUCUCUCAGCAGCCUCCCCAGGCCUGUGCCCCUGGGUCCUGACAUGAGAGCUGAUGACCAUUUAUUAUCACUGGUGAUGUCAAGAGGUGGCUUGGAAUGGUUGUAACCGUCUGUUCAUUUUCAUCUCACCUCCACAUCCACCACAAAUACACAGUGACGUUGCUCUGCAAAAGCAGCAGCACACAGCCCCCCAGAAGCCCCUUCCAGGUAAUUGCCAAAAGUUUCUUCCAUAUGGAAAUUCUGUAGUUGUGUGACCUCAGGCUAGUUACACAACCUCUCUGAGCUUUGCCAUCGUCUUCUGUCCUAUGGUAAGAAUGAUACUGAGGUACUAGGGAGCUGUGAAGCAUAUGCUGUGAGACAACACAGCUGAGCAGCCCAGCCAGAGCCCCCUGGGGAAGCCGUCAGAGGUCAGCAGCUCCCGUCUCCUUCCCUCUUGACUCCUAAUAGUCUAGGACAGAACUUUGCCCUCCCUUCUUCCUGUCCCAAAGAUGCACAAUGAUAAUGAUGCUGAUGGUUAUUUAGUAAGAAACUUCCCAACAGGAACAGUCAUCAGGAGGGGGCACAGUUGGAUUCUCUCCAGUGAAGAUGUCAGGAUGGACAGAAAUGUCAGCGUAAUCCAAAGAGGACACAAACACCCCUGCUAUUUUCUUGUCACCAGGAAAAGGCCAGCUCUAGGUUUGAUGAAUGUUUAGUGAAAGAAAGUUUGCAAAAGUAGAAAAGAAACUGACAUAAUGGUAGCCAAACAGGCUUUCUCUGCAUUAGAAGAGCUAAAUAUACCCUUGCAUGUCUGAUUAGAGAAAAACAAAACAAACAAGCAAAAGCUCCUCCGAUGCACAGAGGUACUGCUCCAUUGAACUAGACCAGAAGAGCUUGGGCCUGCCCCUUGGGAACAGGGGUCAACAUGAUGCGGUGGGCAGGGACCCAUCAUCUGACAAGAAGAUGCCCUGAGGGCAAUGGAAAGCACGGUGUGUCGGGAGAAGAUGGCCCUGAGGGCAGGUGCAUUCAGGUGCUUGUGAACGCUGCAGCAUGUUGGGUCUCUAGUUUUGUAUCAGUCAGCUACUCUCACAACAAUGCUGUGUAACAAACCACCCCAAACUCAGUUGCAAACAAUGAUAUUUAUUUCUCAUUCUCAUGUCCACAGGUCUACUGGGGUUCAUCCCAUCUGAGCCAGGCCUGGCUUUUCUUGGCUGCAAGCUGAGAGCUGGGUCCAGGUCUGCUGAACCAAGGUUCUCCCAUCUUCCUUGAGCCAGUGACAAUCAGAGGCCUAUUUCUUUCAUGACGGAAGGCAGGAGAACAAGCAGGCAAGACCAGCUGUGCUAGCACAUGGCACCCCUUUCCCACAUCACACCUGCUAACAUCCCAUUGUUCAAAGCAAGUAACACAACCAAACCCAAUAUCAACAGGACAAGAAAACAGACUCCACCUCUAGGUGCACAAACUACAGAGUCACGGACAGAGAACACAGAUCUAGGGAAGGAAGCUGGAGAAUGAGAACAAUGACCCUCAAUAACACAACCUCCCACAGGUUUCCAAAUCCCCAACCUGAGCAUAUUUCCAAGGAAACGGAAUCAUGGGUUCAGGGUUUUAGAGCAAGCAAUUUCUGCUCUCCCAGCUUAGUUUCCAUACCCUUAACACAGGGGCAAUGACGUCGCAUCGAAUCAUAUCUUAUAAGUCUGUGAUGAUGUUUCAACAACUGAACGCCAGAAAAGUGCUUAGAGCAAGGCCAGGUAGGAGGGACAGAAGCCAAUAAUAAUGAGUAGCAUCACUGUUAACCCGCAAAAUUCUGGGAAUUUCCUCGAAAGUCUAAUUAGAGAAUCAUGUCCCCAACAAUUAACAGUUAUUUUGUUUUUUUUUUCUUUGAAUCUGAGAAAAUACUAAUUGUCACAGGGUAGAAUAUUUAUCUGAUGAGCGUAUAGAAGUUAAGGGCUCUUUGGAGUCACGGUGCUGGGUUUGGGUCUCAUUCCUCCUCCUACCUGCCUUUCUGAGCCUUGGUUCCUCAUGUGUAGAAGGGGUACAAUCCCAACCUCAUGUGUUUGUGGCAGUCGGGGUUAAAUGGGCUAAUGAUUCUGAAGUGCUCCGCGCAGGCCUGGCAGGUGCUGAGCAACCUCAGGCCAUAGAGAGAGCACUGAUUUUGGAGUCAGGAGCUGGGACCUCAGGUCCUAUUCCCUGGGGAUCCGGGAAAAGUCCCUUGGCUUCCCUGAGCUUCAUCUGCCCCACGUGCUAGUGAGGUGGCUGGACCAGUCAGGCUAAGGACGUCCCUGCAGCUAUCUAACUUCCCCUUACUCCCUGUUCAGCAAAGGGCAGGAGCUGGGCCUGGCCAGGCUCCCACAAAGCCCAGGCGUGGCCGUGCUCAGCUCACGGACGGGUGUGGGGGAUGCGUUUCUGCCCUCAAAGGACUGAGCUCCAGUUUCUUUCUUCACUGAGUCCUUUACUCUCUGCCUGCGGGUGGUUAUUUAAGACAUCUCCCGCCUGCAGGGGCCUCUUAGAGAACAAACAGAUCGUUCCUUCAGCUGCAGUGCAGGCUUUACUGGGCUUGUUCCUGCAUCAAGUAGACAGAUCCUUCCUGAAUAGAGUCGCCCCACAGGCCCCACACCCAGAGAGGGGCAGCCAGGAGCCUCCGAGGCGGGCUCUGCCCAGCUCUGCCUUGAGCUCUGCCUGACUGCAGAGAAGGAAAGUUCUCUUCUUGCAACCUCAAAUCUUCCAGAUAAGAACCAAACGACAUCCGGCCUUUGCGUUCUCUCCACCAGCUCCCGGCUCACCCACCCAGCAGCUCAGCACCUGCGAAAUCCGUCUCCCGAUGCACACUUGCUAACCGCGUGGGUGUGAGCACAACGAUGGGAAACAGCGGAAGUCCCCGGAGUGCAGACUCAGGAGUGAACCUGCCUGAAGAGUGGCGUCUAACGCACACACUGUGGUCAGCUCCACCCCACUAUGGGUCCCGGGAAUAGGAGCAAGUAUGUAUUUUGCUUGCAGGGCAGGUGUUUCAUCCACAUUAUUGCAGGAACAGAUGAAUUUAAUUAAAAGAACACCACAGUGGGCACCUCUUCCAGGGAUGUCUCCCUCUAAGAACAUGACACUGAGAUGAUCAAGGUUCUAAAAGGGCGAUCAAAUUACUCUCCGAAAAUGAAACUGCUCAGACAGAAUGACAAUUAAAUUAAUAACAACCAAGACAAUGCCCAGAUUUCAUCUCCGCUCACAGCCCCUCCUGUGUGCUGUAUGAUCAGGUUCUUGGGGUGGCUCCAGAUACAGCAAACAGUCAGGAUUAAUCCACAAGAGUGAGCUGUCAGCAUGAGGUUCCCCUACAGUGGAGCUUGCCAAGGUCCGUGCCUCCCAGGGCACCCGUUCCAGGGCUAACAGAUGAAGCAUGGAAAUGCUGUGUGGAGUGAGCUAAGCAGCCGUUCUCAGGAGAAAACAGACAAAUCCUCCUGCAUCCUGGCAAACCAGCUUUGUGGCCUGUUUUAUGUCAUCUUUGCUGAGCUCCACCGGGUCACCCCUCCUGUUGGCUUUGUGAUACUGACAUUUCAGGCACUGGCACAGAUACAUUGGCCUUCCUGGCUGGGAUUUCACGGACGGAGUGAGCAGUGCUGGCUUGGAGGAGCCGUGGCGGCACAGGGCCUGUGCUCUCAGCUGAUCAACGCCUUGAUAGCCAGGAAAGGCCUGUCCUACCCCAAAGGGCCCUCGCAGCACUGUUUGAAAUUGCUCUUGCCAUCUUUGGAAUGGAUUCCUCAGUACAUUUCAGACUCGUUGUUGUGACUUUGGUUUUAAUCCAGGGACACACCGUGGCCAGUGGAGUGUCUCAACAGCAUCUAUGAUCGCUGUUUCCCAGAGACAGCAUCUCAGAUACCGAUGCUGAAAGAGAAACAGCAGCCUGUCCCCAAGUGGCAGGAAAUAGUCCAUUUUAAUGGCAAUUUCAUAAGUGGCAGAUGAUUUUUAUUGUAAUUUUCUGGUGAGCUGAUUAAGUGGAGGCAGAGUCAGUUCUGAGGCGUCAAUGUCUUUAACAAUUCGGGGAGACGGAGGCCACGCUCAGCAGGAACACUGAGUCCAUGGAAAACAGGCCCUGGGCCCGCUGAUGUGCAUAAUUCCACGUUUGCCCCUCAUGUAACCAGGAUGGUAAAUUACAGGUGUCAGAUAAUCACGCUCUGGAGUGGCUACUUGAGGAUGCGAUCGACCAAUUUAAGCUCCGUCUGACACAUGAUCAAUAGCCCGUGAUGCUGCAUGGAAUUGCAGGCACAGUGUCCAAACCUGCAGAGCAGUGGCUCCCAGCUGGGGCAACUUUGCCCCCCAGAGGACAUUUGGCAAUGUCUGGAUAUGUUUGCAAUUGUCACAACUAGGAAAGGAGGUACCCAUAGGAUACACAGGAAAGUCCUCACACAGUUGUAUCCUGCCCAGACUGUCCGUAGAGCCAGGGUGAGAUGCUCUGACAGAGCCACAGUGAACAUUGCAUUCCAUCAUCUGGGUAUCUCCAGGAAUGUAUGUAGCUGGAUGUCUGGCUUUUCAUCUGGGUUUCACGAGCCUCCUGCAGAACUGAAACCAUGUGCAAAUCAGUUCUCAUACUUGCUCUCCUGCCUCCUUCCUAUUGUAAUUUUUUCUUCCCACCUUUUUUAUUGUUACUAGAGAAAUGAUGAAGAAAAAGAAUAGGCUGGAGAGUCACUCAAAAUUUUGUUUUCCUCAAUUAAAAAGAAGUAAUUUAGAAGUUACUCAAUGAUGUUUUCUUUAAUUAAAAAAAAAAGUAGUUUGGGAAAGCAGAAAAUUAAUGAAGACAGAAAACACAGGUUUCAUGAAAAAGUUCAGCAUCCCAGGAAAGGAGCAAAGAGAAGUCUGCAGAUGAGAGUUGCUCAGUGUCAGGACUCAGAAAACAAUACCCCAAGAUAAUGUUCAAACCUGAGUGCUUUGAACAAAGGAUAUUGAAAGACCUCAGAAGAGGGCCUCAGAACUCACAUGUCUCUCUGACCUUCUCCUGUCUCUCCUUCACUUCCAAAGCAUGAUCUUUGGCCAGGGGAUCUCUCUGGGAUUCCCUUAUCUGCCUGAGGGAUGUACUUCCAAAAGAAAUGUGACUGGCAUGACCUCCUCCCUAGGAAUCUCUUCAAACAGCCGGGAAAGACUGGUCACCUGAGAGGAGAUUGGAAGUCCUCACUGCACUCAGAAAGGCUGUUGUCCAUUCUUCUAGAGACUUUAUCUGAAUAACAAGGCAACUUUUGUUUACCAUUCAGUUCCUCCCCUUUCCUUUCUAACUUGUCACCACCUCCCCCAAAAGCCUCAAGCCUCCACUCCUACAAGCUAUAAAGACUUCAACCAUCUGGCUUCUCCAUGAGUCUCAUGUUUUGUGUGGCUCUUAGGCAUAUGUGCAUGGUAAUACAUGUGUAUGCCUUUCCUCCGGGUAAUCUGUUUAUUGUCAGUUUAAAGCAGCCACAGAGUUAAAGACGGAAGCCUUCAGAAGGCUUUCCCUUUGCCCCUGCAUCCAUCACCUGAGAGCCCACCCAUGACAGACUUGAACUAUGGACAGAGGCUGCAGUCAAUAGAGCCCAGGGUGAGACUGACUACAGGAGAAGCUGGGCCUUGGGGGAUAAGCCCAAGCUUCUCAAUUCUCAAACUGCAGGUUAAGCCUCUAUAAUGGAGCCUGAAUUCCAUUCAGUGAGUCUUGACCAGCAUUUUAAAAUGUGAAAUAACAGAACUCAGUAGAAAAUAUCAAAGGGCAUUACUUAUAGUGAGGUAAGAAUAUUCUGCGAAAUUUUAGUUUUAUAUUGAGUGUGUGUGUGUGUGUGUGCACGCGCACGCCAGGCCUUGUUGUAAAAUAUACUUCUUAUAAUGGGUUGUGUUCAAAACAGCUUGUAAAAUAUGGGAGCAGAUGAAAUGAUGGAGGAUUUGGUAAGAACUAAAUAUUUGUAAGCAAAUUUUGCAGUGAAAAGAACAAGGAAAUUAUUAAUUCAAGAGAAAUCAAAAGUAGUAUAAGAAAGAAAAUGCAACCAUAUUGCCAUACUUGGCUCUGCUGUAAAUAACAUCUACUUGGCCACAUGACAUAAAUGCUGAUUAUGAUGAUGUCAUUGAAAACGGUAAUUUAGCCAUGCAGGAGGCUGUGAGUUAUGGUGGCAAGUGGAGGAAGAGAGCUAAUCCCUCCUCUGGGGGCCGGCAUUGAGAGAUCACAGAGCAACUUGAAUCCCCGUGAAGCACUUGCUCUUACAAGAUUUGGAAGAAACUUGCACAAACAGUAAAGUGUCUUUACUUGUGGAUGUCUCUGGGAAAAGAUGGGCAGGGAACAGAAAGAUUCAACGGUGUUUGAUUUGGUGACCAUAUAUCUCUUUAAUUUAAAAAGGGAUCAUUCAGGACCAGUGAGGCCAUGGUGGUGUUCAUUGGAAAGAGCCCAGGGACCCAGGUGGCUCUUGGCUCCAUCACCUAGAACCCCAUGCCCUUGAACGAGUCCCUCUCCAGCUUUUGACACCAGUUGGCCAACCUCUAAAACAAAGAGGCCAGGCCAAAUUAUUUUGACUUGUCCUUGGAGCCCUGUGAGUCUGUCUCACCACGGAGUGACUUGGGAGUCUGGGUACCACCCACCCUGACUCCAUGUCAAAUACCGUGCACAUCUCAAGCACAGUGCCUGGCUCAGCACAGGCAGCAGGAAAGCUGUGUGGGUGUGCAUCAGGGUUGGUGGACACAGUAGACAGCCUUUGCUCUCCCAAGAUGGGGGAGGUCCGGUACCAUGACUUAGGGAACUGCUGGUUCCUAACCAACCCCCCCACCCACCCCGGACAGUAGUGCAGAAAGGAUGCUUUCCUAAUCAGCUAAUUUUCACAAAAUGUGGGAUGCCCUGGUGGGAUCCCGUGGUAGGAGAGUAGAUGACUUCCAGGAGCACAUAGAGGGGGCAGAGGCUGCGGGCUGACCCUUGAUACCCCUCAUCCCCUUCAUUUAACAUUAGAAAUCCCAAAGUUUAGUUGCCUGGACCGGAACUGAAUUUCCCAUCCUGCCUUGCAGCUGGUGUGUACCUUCCCAGUGUACCCUUAAAUGCAUGAGUACGCCCCACUUACCCUUUUCCUCUUCCCUCCUGCCUGAUGUGACUUGCACCUCCUUGGACCAGGUGGACAAGAAAAGCCUCCGUCAAUGACAGAGCCCAAGAUGGGCAGGUCGAGGAUCAGCCCCGGGAGCCGCCCAACUAGCUCGCCCCUCGCCCCCGCCCC